Molecule: ribosomal RNA, 366 nt
Filed under: Triticum aestivum (bread wheat)
Lineage: Eukaryota; Viridiplantae; Streptophyta; Magnoliopsida; Poales; Poaceae
Description: partial small subunit ribosomal RNA
Source: RNAcentral
AUGGAUGGCCGCCAUCUGCUGGGUGCCGCAGGAGCUGCGAGAGCGAACCAGAACAAUGCCAAGAUCGUCAAGAUGGCGGUGCCCGUGCUGGCCAUGCUGCUGCUGCUGGGCACGGCGGCGGCUGUCUCCAUGACGGCCGACGACCGGGCCUGCCUCCGCGCCAUCUUCGGCAGCCACAUGUUCCUGAUGUUCUGCGUGCUCGUGAACACCGCGUCCGGCUGUGCCCUGGCGUGGAUGGCUGUCACGGCGCCGACGCAGGCUGCCCGGCGCUCGUACGCGGAGUCCACCGUCGCGUCCUUCGUGCUUCUUGCCGUCAAUCUGCACUCAGCCUUGUCCAACCUCCCGGAUGUCAACGAUGCUGCCUAG